RNAcentral lists this ribosomal RNA (259 nucleotides) under uncultured bacterium. RNAcentral's name for it is "partial 16S ribosomal RNA". It matches the Rfam family "Bacterial small subunit ribosomal RNA", at positions 95 to 354 of the family's 1533-position model. The record is from RNAcentral.
UUGGCGGACGGGUGAGUAACGCGUGGAUAACCUGCCGUAUACAGGGGGAUAACACCUGGAAACAGGUGCUAAUACCGCAUAAGCGCACGGUCCCGCAUGGGACAGUGUGAAAAGCUCCGGCGGUAUACGAUGGAUCCGCGUCUGAUUAGCCAGUUGGCGGGGUAACGGCCCACCAAGGCGACGAUCAGUAGCCGGCCUGAGAGGGCGGACGGCCACAUUGGGACUGAGACACGGCCCAGACUCCUACGGAAGGCAGCAG